Molecule: ribosomal RNA, 468 nt
Filed under: uncultured bacterium
Lineage: Bacteria
Description: partial 16S ribosomal RNA
Rfam family: Bacterial small subunit ribosomal RNA
Source: RNAcentral
GACGAACGCUGGCGGCGUGCUUAACACAUGCCAGUCGAACGGAAAGGCCCUGCUUUUGUGGGGUGCUCGAGUGGCGAACGGGUGAGUAACACGUGAGUAACCUGCCCUUGACUUUGGGAUAACUUCAGGAAACUGGGGCUAAUACCGGAUAGGAGCUCCUGCUGCAUGGUGGGGGUUGGAAAGUUUCGGCGGUUGGGGAUGGACUCGCGGCUUAUCAGCUUGUUGGUGGGGUAGUGGCUUACCAAGGCUUUGACGGGUAGCCGGCCUGAGAGGGUGACCGGCCACAUUGGGACUGAGAUACGGCCCAGACUCCUACGGGGGGCAGCAGUGGGGAAUAAUGCACAAUGGGCGGAAGCCUGAUGCAGCAACGCCGCGUGCGGGAUGACGGCCUUCGGGUUGUAAACCGCUUUCGCCUGUGACGAAGCGUGAGUGACGGUAAUGGGUAAAGAAGCACCGGCUAACUACGUG